AGCGGCGGACGGGUGAGUCAUAUCUGGGAAACUGCCUGAUGGAGGGGGAUAACUACUGGAAACGGUAGCCAAUACCGCAUACCAUCAGAUGUGCCCAGAUGGGAUUCGCUAGUAGGUGGGGUAACGGCUCACCUAGGAGACGAUGCCUAGCUGGUCUGAGAGGAUGACCAGCCACACUGGAACUGCGACACGGGCCAGACUCCUACGGGAGGCAGCAGUGGGGAAUAUUGCAAAAUGGGCGAAAGCCUGAUGCAGCCCUGCCGCGUGUGUGAAGAAGGCCUUCGGGUUGUAAAGCACUGUCAGCGGUGACGCGUUACCCGCAGAAAAAGCCCCGGCUAACUCCGUGCCAGCAGCCGCGGUAAUUC
This 365-nucleotide ribosomal RNA is filed under the name uncultured bacterium. RNAcentral describes it as "partial 16S ribosomal RNA". It matches the Rfam family "Bacterial small subunit ribosomal RNA", at positions 94 to 526 of the family's 1533-position model. The record is from RNAcentral.